Molecule: ribosomal RNA, 207 nt
Filed under: uncultured bacterium
Lineage: Bacteria
Description: partial 16S ribosomal RNA
Rfam family: Bacterial small subunit ribosomal RNA
Source: RNAcentral
CGUGUAGGCGGAGGAGCAAGUCAGAUGUGAAAUCCCGGGGCUUAACCCCGGAACUGCAUUUGAAACUGUUCCCCUCGAGUAUCGGAGAGGCAAGCGGAAUUCCUAGUGUAGCGGUGAAAUGCGUAGAGAUGGGGAGGAACACCAGUGGCGAAGGCGGCCUGCUGGGCUUUAACUGACGCUGAGGCACGAAAGCGUGGGUAGCAAACA